CUGCUACCAAGUGAGUCCCAGGAAUGGAGCACCGGGGGACCGGCUUGGCAGUAGGUGGCUUUACCCACUGUGCUAGCCUCUCUCCACAUCCCUGGCACACCACAUUGACCACAGCAGGGCCUCCCUGGUAGUUUGACCAGCUUCUCCUGUGAUUUCAAAAUUCAGCUAAGUGCAUUCUGUCUUUACCGAGCCACAUCAAUAAAGCCUUCCUCCUUCCCUGCAUCUCUGUGUUCCCAAGGACUACAGGAACCACCGUAGACGCCAGUGCUGUCUGUUGCAUCAGUGGCUCACUGGGCCAGUAUUUAAAACAAACUCUGGAAGCAACACAGCCUUUCCCUUUUGUAAGUGUAACGUAGUUAAGAAGCCUGGGAGUGUGCAAGGGAUGCCAAAUCUGGAGUGGACAGCCCCGAUGACUUCAGCCCAUUCUCAGUUUCUGAUUACAAUUAGAUUUCCUUUGGCAUCGAAAGACUGUUCAUUUUAGUAAACAGUGCUCUUCCCUAGUAAGAGUGAUAUCUAGCUCCUUGGACCGGGACCUGCUCACUGGUGAGGCAGUGUGCCCAGGCUUCUUCAGAAAGAGCUGAAACGCUGACUUUUGAAGAUGGACACAAGGAGAGAGGCAGAAACACAGACCGGGCGAAGACGCACAGGGAGAUGAAACCGAGAUACUGUUUCCACUUCUUCCUACGCUCGCUGUGAUAUGGUAAAUUAUUCGGGGCAGGGAGAAGUCAGCAGAAGGCAGGAAGACAAGGCAGGACAGGCCAGCAGAGGAUAAAAACACGAGAACGCGGUUUUGAAAACAGCCUUUCUCCAAGGCGAAGGCUGACUGACUCAGUGAACAGACUACCCUCCCGUAGAAGCUAAAGAUGACAUGAGUCGCAGAGGACCAUAAUUUGCAAAAAAAAAAAUCAUCGUAUGAAGUAAUUAAUGUAAGCAUGGGUAAGUUUCCAGGAUUAAGACUUUGAUCUGACAAGCAGAAGAAGUGGAGUAAGGCUGGCACGGGUGUGCUGUGGCCUUAAGACUUCAAAUGUUUUUCCAUGCUAGUCAAAAUUUAAUUACUUCUCCCCCACCCUCCGCCACUGACAGUUCCAAAUUAAAAUAAAUGGACCAUGUCGAGACAAAUCUCGGAUGCAUGUAGUGCUUGAGAAAAUGCUGCUGCUCGCCCAUGGACAGCCUGAGACUCUCCUAAUAAAUUCCCUUCCUUCUUCUUGGGAUGGUAAGGGAAUUGAGGGGCAGGGCUUGGUGUUGAAAUAAAGAAACAGGCUCGGAUCUAGUGUGUUUUGCAGGGUUGUUCCCACAGGAAUGCUCUUCUCCUAUAUGUUCUCUGUGCACUGAUCUUACAAGGUUUGGGGGAAGUGGGAUAGACAAAUGCCCUGUGGUCACCCAAUGUAUUAAGCUAAUUCCUUUCUAAGUGCAGGUAGAUUGGUUUUUACUUAGUGACAACCAUCAACUCUGUUAUAGAUUAAUGAGGGUUUGAUAGCCCAGUUGGACCUCGUACGGCCACACAUUUGCUAUCAUUGUAACAGAGGCGGCUCCUUGUCACCUGAGGCAAGGAAGCAAUUCACUCGACAUGAGUCUGUCCUCUUCAAGACGAGGCCUGGGGAGUCCCGGAGACCUGCCUUCUCAUCUCUGCAGCUCUGAAGCAUUUGCUGAGCAUUCCCACCUUCCCAAAACCCAUCGUUUAGAGAACUCGCUUGUCAUUGGCUUCUUGUUUUGAAGUCCCAGUUCCUGGUAUUUUCCUCAGACUCAUUGUACCUCUCAAGACUGAGUGGGAAAGUAUCAGGCAGGCACCAUGGCAGUAAACAGGAAGCCAGUGGCCCCUUGGAACCAUGAAUGCUGCCCUCUGUGUUUGGUCUUGGGAAGUAGAGAUAAGAAGGUACACAAAUUCGGUCAUGUGUCUGUGGCAAUUCAAACAAAUAAUGAGUCUCACAAAUAGGAAACCAUAAGCACUCAGACACACUGGAAUUAAUGAAGAACUCUUUUCCUAGUGAUGCCACUCUGGCUUGAGAAAAUUACCUGGAAGCUUCCGGUAGUCACAGCGAACCAACAGUGAGGAGCGUCUCUGCUGUUCUUGUCAUCAGUUCCUUCUCCAUCCAGAGCUGUUUCAGAAAAUCCGCUCUAGCCUCCUCCAACCUGUCUGUACAGAGGCCAAUUCUACCUUCAUGCUGAGGAUCAAAGCAAGAAUGGGGGAGAAGAAGCCGGACGGUUCCUCACAACUGGAGCCUUCCUUUUGUCCUUGCCUAGACUCCCGAGAAGGCAGGGAGCCACAGGUCCUUCCAUCCCUUGGCUUCUCAUUCCAUCCCUCACAAGCCACUGCCACCCUCCCCUGAGCUCUGAGAGCACAGCUUUGCAUGUCUUCACGACUGGCUGAGUCACCUUUGGACACCAGCAAGGCUGUACCAUGUCUGAGUCGAUCCUGCGUGCUUCUCCACAGGUCCCUUCAAUACACUCUGGAGCACCGCCGCUAUCAGCAGCACGGCAGUUCCUUCCAACUCUAGUGUGAGACACGGUCUGUCCCCAUACCUUUCUAGAAGACCUAGGUGACCUUGUUUCCAUCUAUUCAGUGGACAGUUUGCCUAGUCUUGUGGCAUUGUCAACGUAAUCCUAAAUGCUCUGACACUAGACCUCGAUGAAAACCAAGGUCUCUGUGCUUCGUCACAACAUUGGCUAAUCUCACGACUCCUUGUCUUCUCCCUCAUGUGUUGGGAAUUCUAGUAAUUUGUCCUUCUCUGUGGUUUCUGGAAUUACAGCAACAAUUUCUAAAUCAAAUAAGACAUACUAUGUUGAGAUUUUGACUACAUUCGUAUUGAAUUUAGAGAUUCAAUAUCGUUUCAUUUUUUUUUGUAAUGUUAGCCCAACGACCUAAAACCAUCCUUUCCGUGGACUUCCCAGCUUCCUCUCUGAGCUCUCUUCCGAGACAAUCUUCGAAAGCAUCGCUGUUGCGCCCUCCAUACCUGGGCACGCUGGGCACCCAGGAUCUUCUUUCUGACUCGUGAACCACAAUAAGGCUGUAAGACAGGAACUGAGCUCUUACCUCAUGGUGGAGCUAGCAGGACAGGGUGGAGGCAGUGGAGAUCAGGCAUGGCAGCCACUGAGGUGGCAGGGAGAUGCAGAUCAUGGGGCCAGGCUCGUGGGAUAUCACUAAGUUGGAUGGCCAGCAUGACCAGGUAGCAAGGACGCCAACACCUUAUCUUCACCAACCACUGCCCAUAAGAGCUAACAACAACAGGAAGAGAGCAGGAUACACGGAGAACUCUUAAAACACUGUCCUAAGACCCAACAGCUCUCUGCUAAGCCUAUAAAUGAUGAGUGUGUGGUGCUCACAGCCUCAGGCUGUCUGCCCUUACCCAGGCUGCAUGACUUUCCUUCCUCCAAAGCAGCAAGCCGUUCCUGCAAGCAAACGGCAAAUGUGGGACCUGGGUGUGCACCAGUGAAGAAGGUAUUGUUCGUGGUCACAGUAUCACCCGGAGACGCCUGGGAACCAAACAGCGAUGCUGGUUUGUAUAGAGGGAGCAGAGAUGCUGGUUUGUAUAGAGGGAGCAGAGAUGCUAGGGAGGCCUGUGGGAGGUAAGGGGGUGCCGAGCAAUGCAGGUUAUUUGGUUUUAUUUGUUAGCUUCCUGUCUAAACUGUUGGCUGCAAAAAUUCCCCAAUUACAUUACGUGUCAGGGAACCUUGAUACACCUUAUGAUAUCCCUGGCAGCGUCUAGCUUUACUUAGCUUUUAAGUUGCUUUCCCCAGAAAAGUUUUCUUCAUGGCCUGCAGCACCAUGUCAUUUUGAGGACCAAAAUCUACAGAGUUUGCACUGAGAGGGAGCACACGAAUAGAGAAAGUGACUCCAAGCAGCCUGAGUGAAGACAAGCCCUACAGUGAGCUCCUCUCGGUUCGAGUAUUUUAGAAUUGUUUCUACAAAGAAAAUGUCUC
RNAcentral lists this small RNA (3918 nucleotides) under Rattus norvegicus (Norway rat). RNAcentral's name for it is "uncharacterized LOC102546303". The record is from RNAcentral. Lineage: Eukaryota; Metazoa; Chordata; Mammalia; Rodentia; Muridae.